Molecule: long non-coding RNA, 200 nt
Filed under: Homo sapiens (human)
Lineage: Eukaryota; Metazoa; Chordata; Mammalia; Primates; Hominidae
Description: HSALNT0259795
Source: RNAcentral
UUUGCCAUGGCAGAUCUGGACUUCGGCAACUACACGGUACCAGGGGAUGGUAUUCUGUAGUCCUGGGCAGCGGGAAGAGAGCUCAUAGACACCAGGAGAGGUGGUGAGGUUGGCACCCACAGACAGGACACAGAGACCACGGGUGGCCCAGCAGUUCCGGGCUUCAGCCUUGACCUCACAUACACGGCCUGGUGGGCAGC